Cucumis melo (muskmelon) is the source of this 349-nucleotide long non-coding RNA. RefSeq lists it as uncharacterized. NCBI's taxonomy places the organism in Eukaryota, Viridiplantae, Streptophyta, Magnoliopsida, Cucurbitales, Cucurbitaceae. The transcript is spliced from 2 exons. The record is from RefSeq and is a predicted model, not a curated record.
ACAUCCCACCCUAAACUUAGUAAAGUAUAACAAAUAGAAAGAUAACAAUUCCAAGAUUAUGUCCUCCCAUCUAAAAUCAUGGCCAGAACUAAACUUCAUGGACGCAGACAUUGUGGCAAAUAUCAUCAAGAAAGAGAAUCCUAACUUUCAACCAAUCAUACUAUUGGCAGGAACUCCAACGACACGUGAUCUUAAACCUGGUCGAGUUCGACUCUUUACUAAUGUGGAAGGAAGAGUGGUUAUUAUACCUCAAGAGGGCUAAAAUAAUGUAAACCUACAUGUUUCAAAUAAUAAAUAAAAGUAAUAAACUAUUUCUUCUAUUCCCCAUAUAUAAAUAAUUAAUUUGAAC